GCGGGCGAGGAGGAGGAGAGGAGUCGGGGGAGGGGGGGCUCGCGUUCCUUCUCCUCUCCCAUCCCCCGAGGGGAACCCCCGUCGAGGGGAGCAGGCGGAGGAGCGGCGGGAGCCAAAGCCGUUAGCCCGGUCCCGCCCCGCAACCAGGAGACUCCCCUGCCCCUGGCCCGCCCCAUCUGGGGGAGAAAAAGCCUUCGGCCUGCUCCCCGUCACCGGCCCCUCUGGCCCUCCGCACGGUCCUGCUUCCCACUCCUCCGUGGGAGCGGAAGGGGUGUUUGUAAAAUCAAGUGGGAAGAGACGUGGGCCGCUUCCCGCUUCUGGAGCAUCCUUGUGCGCUCCGCCGCCGCCGCCGCCGCCGCCGCUUCCCUCCGUGCCCUCGGGGGUUUCCAGCCCCUCGCCUGCUCCCCGGGCCCACCCCCCGGCCCGGGCAGGGCCUCCUCGGCUCCCCCCUUCUCUCCGUGGCCGGAGCGAAGGGGUGGACGACGGAAGGAGCGACCGCCCCUCCGUCCCCCGGCCGGGCCCAUCCCCGGGAGCCCCGGGGGGGGGUCAAGGAGAAGACCCGUUAAUGGGGUUGGGCGAGGCCCGGAGCUCAGCCCGGCGCCAGGGAGGUGGGCCGUGCCCAAGGCAGGAGGGGCACACCUGGGGGAGGGGCAGUGCCCGCUGCCCCGCGGACCCGGCCUCUCCUGGACCGACCAGAUGCCCCCGGGGCCCAGCUCGCCCGCACCGGCUCCGGCAGCCCCAGGACCCGCGCCAUGGGAAGGUGAGUCUCGACGGCCGGCCGGGCGGCCGGGGUCACCCCGGACCCCUCCUCACCCUCCCGAGCCCCAGCCGGGGGGCGAAGGGACCCCUACGGGCGGUGCCGGCCCGGAGAGCGUCGCUCCGGACCUGGCGACGGAGGGGCCGCGCUGGGGGAUGGGGAAGGGGAAGGGUCAGCUCUCCUUCUCCCCUCCCUCCACCGCCCCCCGACCCCGGGGGCUCGGAGUCGGAUGUCUCUCCCUCCACCCCGGGGGCCGCUCCCGUCUCCGUGGGUCAGUGAGACGGAGGGUGCGGCGUCCUGGGCGAGCCCGGCCUGGUGCCCGUCCGGGAGGGUUCGCCCCCUCCUCCCUCUCCCUACCCCUCAUCCUCCCCGACGCCUUCCCGGAACGGUCUCUGACCGGCAGGGGCUGA
RNAcentral lists this long non-coding RNA (1167 nucleotides) under Ornithorhynchus anatinus (platypus). RNAcentral's name for it is "lncRNA (ENSOANG00000038533.1)". The record is from RNAcentral. Lineage: Eukaryota; Metazoa; Chordata; Mammalia; Monotremata; Ornithorhynchidae.